GCCACCCUAGCUCAGUGGUAGAGCAGCUCACUCGUAAUGAGCAGGUCGUGGGUUCGAGUCCCAUGGGUGGCUCCA
This 75-nucleotide transfer RNA is filed under the name Candidatus Peregrinibacteria bacterium CG10_big_fil_rev_8_21_14_0_10_55_24. RNAcentral's name for it is "tRNA-Thr". It matches the Rfam family "tRNA". From Rfam's summary of the family: Transfer RNA (tRNA) molecules are approximately 80 nucleotides in length. Their secondary structure includes four short double-helical elements and three loops (D, anti-codon, and T loops). Lineage: Bacteria; Candidatus Peregrinibacteriota. The record is from RNAcentral.